This 237-nucleotide long non-coding RNA is filed under the name Gossypium raimondii (Peruvian cotton). RNAcentral describes it as "long non-coding RNA (GRAI_LNC009101)". Lineage: Eukaryota; Viridiplantae; Streptophyta; Magnoliopsida; Malvales; Malvaceae. The record is from RNAcentral.
GGCGGUGCUGCUGGUUGUUGAAGGCUAGGGUUUCGGGAUUUGGGAAUAUUUUGGGCUAGGUUUAGGAUCAGGUUUAGUUUUUUUAAUUGUAAUUGGGCUGUGUAAAUGGACAUUAGGGCUAAACUUAAAUAUUUUUUUUCUUUUCUUUUUUAUUUAGUUUUACAAAAUGGGCUGGGCAAAUUGGCCUAUUACACAACUGAUCUUUUCUUAGUUUCUUGAUAACCAAGAGGAAGCUUG